This 272-nucleotide long non-coding RNA is filed under the name Lathyrus oleraceus (garden pea). RNAcentral's name for it is "Pisum sativum (pea) long non-coding RNA (PSAT_LNC006075)". The record is from RNAcentral. Lineage: Eukaryota; Viridiplantae; Streptophyta; Magnoliopsida; Fabales; Fabaceae.
UUGAAUCAUUCUAUUUGGUUCUAUGAGGUUCUAACUUGCAUGCUUUGCACUAAAUGCUUUAUGAAAUGAAAUUGGUUGAUGAUAUGGAUAUGAGACCACUUGGAUUUGUUUCUUGUUUGAUUGAACUUGAUUUUGGAUAAUUUUCAUGUUCUGUUUUGGUUUAUUGCUCCCAUUUUGACCCUAGGCCAUGUCCUAGUGGUUAGUGCUUAAUGUUUGAGCUUUGUUUCAGGUCAAAGAGCACAAUUGCUUAUACUUGAUGAUGUGCACUCAAU